This 148-nucleotide non-coding RNA is filed under the name Homo sapiens (human). Lineage: Eukaryota; Metazoa; Chordata; Mammalia; Primates; Hominidae. The record is from Rfam by way of RNAcentral.
GCCAGGUGUGGUGGUGCGUGCCUGUAAUCCCAGCUACUCAGGAGGCUGAGGCAUGAGAAUCACUUGAACCCAGGAGUGGCAGGUUGCAGUGAGCCAAGAUCAUGCCACUGCACUCCAGCCUGGGUAACAGAGUGAGACUCUGUCUCAA